AGCCGGUCCAAAUCGCUGAAGUUGAGCCGCUGCGCAUGAGGGACGCCCCCUGCAGGAUGCGAAGGGCUGUCUAGGCCGGUGGCUACGCGCGCCUGCAACAGGUGGCACUCCUGCUUCAGCUCUUCGAUCUGUUUGUCUUUGGCUAGCAGCACGCUGGCCUGCUCUGACAAGUCCCUGGCGCGCUGGCGGGCAAGGGCCUGGCACAGCUCCAGGCCGGCUCGGUUCUCGCCUAGCACGGGCGCACUCAGCGCUCGCAGGACUGCUGCCGCCUGGCCGGGGCUUCCUAGCCUUUUGGGUGACGUGCGGCUGCCACCCAAGGGGGUGGGUGAGUCCUCGGUCAUUGUGGCUGAAGCCCGGCCAGACACCUGACCUCGCCUGGCAGGCCGCAGCUCGCCAACGGCUGCCGCCCCGGCCGAGGCCAACCGCCCCGCGCGCCCCUUCCGGCGCCCCCUGGCUGUCUCCUCGAGCCCCUUCCUCCUCGGGGCACUUCGUACCUGCUAUCGGACUGGACGCUCCAGAAAGGCCAGGUCUCUGCCUGUCUGGUUCAUCCAGAUUCACCCACGCCUCCCCAGCACUGUGACCAGCACAAAGUAAGGGCUCAGCUCAGGUAGGCGCCCCGCCCCCCGCCCCCC
RNAcentral lists this long non-coding RNA (632 nucleotides) under Heterocephalus glaber (naked mole-rat). RNAcentral's name for it is "lncRNA (ENSHGLG00100034429.1)". Lineage: Eukaryota; Metazoa; Chordata; Mammalia; Rodentia; Bathyergidae. The record is from RNAcentral.